Molecule: ribosomal RNA, 468 nt
Filed under: uncultured bacterium
Lineage: Bacteria
Description: partial 16S ribosomal RNA
Rfam family: Bacterial small subunit ribosomal RNA
Source: RNAcentral
GACGAACGCUGGCGGCGUGCUUAACACAUGCAAGUCGAACGGAAAGGCCCUGCUUUUGUGGGGUGCGCGAGUGGCGAACGGGUGAGUAACACGUGAGUAACCUGCCCUUGACUUUGGGAUAACUUCAGGAAACUGGGGCUCAUACCGGAUAGGUGCUCCUGCUGCAUGGUGGUGGUUGGAAAGGUUCGGCGGUGGGGGAUGGACUCGCGGCUUAUCAGCUUGUUGGUGGGGUAGUGGCUUACCAAGGCUUUGACGGGUAGCCGGCCUGAGAGGGUGACCGGCCACAUUGGGACUGAGAUACGGCCCAGACUCCUACGGGAGGCAGCAGUGGGGAAUAUUGCACAAUGGGCGGAAGCCUGAUGAAGCAACGCCGCGUGCGGGAUGACGGCCUUCGGGUUGUAAACCGCUUUCGCCUGUGACGAAGCGUGAGUGACGGUAAUGGGUAAAGAAGCACCGGCUAACUACGUG